CCAAGGCUCGCUUCGGCGGGUCG
RNAcentral lists this small RNA (23 nucleotides) under Arabidopsis thaliana (thale cress). RNAcentral's name for it is "Ath_wt_21781". Lineage: Eukaryota; Viridiplantae; Streptophyta; Magnoliopsida; Brassicales; Brassicaceae. The record is from RNAcentral.